RNAcentral lists this ribosomal RNA (466 nucleotides) under uncultured Bacilli bacterium. RNAcentral's name for it is "bacterial SSU rRNA". It matches the Rfam family "Bacterial small subunit ribosomal RNA", at positions 255 to 713 of the family's 1533-position model. Lineage: Bacteria; Bacillati; Bacillota; Bacilli. The record is from RNAcentral.
AGGUAACGGCUCACCUAGGCGACGAUACAUAGCCGACCUGAGAGGGUGAUCGGCCACACUGGGACUGAGACACGGCCCAGACUCCUACGGGAGGCAGCAGUAGGGAAUCUUCGGCAAUGGGGGCAACCCUGACCGAGCAAGGCCGCGUGAGUGAAGAAGGUUUUCGGAUCGUAAAGCUCUGUUGUAAGUCAAGAACGAGUGUGAGAGUGGAAAGUUCACACUGUGACGGUAGCUUACCAGAAAGGGACGGCUAACUACGUGCCAGCAGCCGCGGUAAUACGUAGGUCCCGAGCGUUGUCCGGAUUUAUUGGGCGUAAAGCGAGCGCAGGCGGUUUGAUAAGUCUGAAGUUAAAGGCUGUGGCUCAACCAUAGUUCGCUUUGGAAACUGUCAAACUUGAGUGCAGAAGGGGAGAGUGGAAUUCCAUGUGUAGCGGUGAAAUGCGUAGAUAUAUGGAGGAACACCGGU